GGGUUGUGAGGUUAAGCGACUAAGCGUACACGGUGGAUGCCCUGGCAGUCAGAGGCGAUGAAGGGCGUGCUAAUCUGCGAUAAGCGCCGGUAAGGUGAUAUGAACCGUUAUAACCGGCGAUACCCGAAUGGGGAAACCCAGUGUGAUUCGUCACACUAUCAUUAACUGAAUCCAUAGGUUAAUGAGGCGAACCGGGGGAACUGAAACAUCUAAGUACCCCGAGGAAAAGAAAUCAACCGAGAUUCCCCCAGUAGCGGCGAGCGAACGGGGAGGAGCCCAGAGCCUGAAUCAGCAUGUGUGUUAGUGGAAGCGUCUGGAAAGGCGCGCGAUACAGGGUGACAGCCCCGUACACAAAAGCGCAUGUGCUGUGAGCUCGAUGAGUAGGGCGGGACACGUGGUAUCCUGUCUGAAUAUGGGGGGACCAUCCUCCAAGGCUAAAUACUCCUGACUGACCGAUAGUGAACCAGUACCGUGAGGGAAAGGCGAAAAGAACCCCGGCGAGGGGAGUGAAAAAGAACCUGAAACCGUGUACGUACAAGCAGUGGGAGCNNGUGACUGCGUACCUUUUGUAUAAUGGGUCAGCGACUUAUAUUCUGUAGCAAGGUUAACCGAAUAGGGGAGCCGGAGGGAAACCGAGUCUUAAUUGGGCGUUAAGUUGCAGGGUAUAGACCCGAAACCCGGUGAUCUAGCCAUGGGCAGGUUGAAGGUUGGGUAACACUAACUGGAGGACCGAACCGACUAAUGUUGAAAAAUUAGCGGAUGACCUGUGGCUGGGGGUGAAAGGCCAAUCAAACCGGGAGAUAGCUGGUUCUCCCCGAAAGCUAUUUAGGUAGCGCCUCGUGAAUUCAUCUCCGGGGGUAGAGCACUGUUUCGGCUAGGGGGCCAUCCCGGCUUACCAACCCGAUGCAAACUGCGAAUACCGGAGAAUGUUAUCACGGGAGACACACGGCGGGUGCUAACGUCCGUCGUGAAGAGGGAAACAACCCAGACCGCCAGCUAAGGUCCCAAAGUCAUGGUUAAGUGGGAAACGAUGUGGGAAGGCCCAGACAGCCAGGAUGUUGGCUUAGAAGCAGCCAUCAUUUAAAGAAAGCGUAAUAGCUCACUGGUCGAGUCGGCCUGCGCGGAAGAUGUAACGGGGCUAAACCAUGCACCGAAGCUGCGGCAGCGACGCUUAUGCGUUGUUGGGUAGGGGAGCGUUCUGUAAGCCUGUGAAGGUGUGUCGUGAGGCAUGCUGGAGGUAUCAGAAGUGCGAAUGCUGACAUAAGUAACGAUAAAGCGGGUGAAAAGCCCGCUCGCCGGAAGACCAAGGGUUCCUGUCCAACGUUAAUCGGGGCAGGGUGAGUCGACCCCUAAGGCGAGGCCGAAAGGCGUAGUCGAUGGGAAACGGGUUAAUAUUCCCGUACUUGGUGUUACUGCGAAGGGGGGACGGAGAAGGCUAUGUUGGCCGGGCGACGGUUGUCCCGGUUUAAGCGUGUAGGUGUGUGUUCCAGGUAAAUCCGGUUCACUUUAACACUGAGGCGUGAUGACGAGGCACUACGGUGCUGAAGUAACAAAUGCCCUGCUUCCAGGAAAAGCCUCUAAGCAUCAGGUAACAUCAAAUCGUACCCCAAACCGACACAGGUGGUCAGGUAGAGAAUACCAAGGCGCUUGAGAGAACUCGGGUGAAGGAACUAGGCAAAAUGGUGCCGUAACUUCGGGAGAAGGCACGCUGACACGUAGGUGAAGUGAUUUACUCAUGGAGCUGAAGUCAGUCGAAGAUACCAGCUGGCUGCAACUGUUUAUUAAAAACACAGCACUGUGCAAACACGAAAGUGGACGUAUACGGUGUGACGCCUGCCCGGUGCCGGAAGGUUAAUUGAUGGGGUCAGCGCAAGCGAAGCUCCUGAUCGAAGCCCCGGUAAACGGCGGCCGUAACUAUAACGGUCCUAAGGUAGCGAAAUUCCUUGUCGGGUAAGUUCCGACCUGCACGAAUGGCGUAAUGAUGGCCAGGCUGUCUCCACCCGAGACUCAGUGAAAUUGAACUCGCUGUGAAGAUGCAGUGUACCCGCGGCAAGACGGAAAGACCCCGUGAACCUUUACUAUAGCUUGACACUGAACAUUGAGCCUUGAUGUGUAGGAUAGGUGGGAGGCUUUGAAGUGUGGACGCCAGUCUGCAUGGAGCCGACCUUGAAAUACCACCCUUUAAUGUUUGAUGUUCUAACGUGGACCCGUGAUCCGGGUUGCGGACAGUGUCUGGUGGGUAGUUUGACUGGGGCGGUCUCCUCCUAAAGAGUAACGGAGGAGCACGAAGGUUGGCUAAUCCUGGUCGGACAUCAGGAGGUUAGUGCAAUGGCAUAAGCCAGCUUGACUGCGAGCGUGACGGCGCGAGCAGGUGCGAAAGCAGGUCAUAGUGAUCCGGUGGUUCUGAAUGGAAGGGCCAUCGCUCAACGGAUAAAAGGUACUCCGGGGAUAACAGGCUGAUACCGCCCAAGAGUUCAUAUCGACGGCGGUGUUUGGCACCUCGAUGUCGGCUCAUCACAUCCUGGGGCUGAAGUAGGUCCCAAGGGUAUGGCUGUUCGCCAUUUAAAGUGGUACGCGAGCUGGGUUUAGAACGUCGUGAGACAGUUCGGUCCCUAUCUGCCGUGGGCGCUGGAGAACUGAGGGGGGCUGCUCCUAGUACGAGAGGACCGGAGUGGACGCAUCACUGGUGUUCGGGUUGUCAUGCCAAUGGCACUGCCCGGUAGCUAAAUGCGGAAGAGAUAAGUGCUGAAAGCAUCUAAGCACGAAACUUGCCCCGAGAUGAGUUCUCCCUGAGACUU
Molecule: ribosomal RNA, 2798 nt
Filed under: Salmonella enterica subsp. enterica serovar Dublin
Lineage: Bacteria; Pseudomonadati; Pseudomonadota; Gammaproteobacteria; Enterobacterales; Enterobacteriaceae
Description: bacterial LSU rRNA
Rfam family: Bacterial large subunit ribosomal RNA
Source: RNAcentral